RNAcentral lists this ribosomal RNA (399 nucleotides) under uncultured bacterium. RNAcentral's name for it is "bacterial SSU rRNA". It matches the Rfam family "Bacterial small subunit ribosomal RNA", at positions 1 to 403 of the family's 1533-position model. The record is from RNAcentral.
UAGAGUUUGAUCCUGGCUCAGGAUGAACGCUAGCGGGAGGCUUAACACAUGCAAGUCGAGGGGUAACAUGAUAGCUUGCUAUCGAUGACGACCGGCGCACGGGUGAGUAACGCGUAUGCAACCUACCUUUUACAGAGGGAUAGCCCAGAGAAAUUUGGAUUAAUACCUCAUAGUACUAUUUAUUCGCAUGAUUAAAUAGUUAAAGUUUCGGCGGUAAAAGAUGGGCAUGCGUGACAUUAGAUAGUUGGCGGGGUAACGGCCCACCAAGUCUACGAUGUCUAGGGGUUCUGAGAGGAUGAUCCCCCAAACUGGUACUGAGACACGGACCAGACUCCUACGGGAGGCAGCAGUGAGGAAUAUUGGUCAAUGGGCGCAAGCCUGAACCAGCCAUCCCGCGUG